Molecule: long non-coding RNA, 618 nt
Organism: Apis florea (little honeybee)
Lineage: Eukaryota; Metazoa; Arthropoda; Insecta; Hymenoptera; Apidae
Gene: Arms
Source: RefSeq, a predicted model, not a curated record
UGCAUAAGAAAUCAGCUGUUCAAGUUCAAUGUAGCACCGCCUGGUGGUGAUGCUGUAAACGUUGAAUGAAAAAAGACGAAAUACAUUUGGUGUUACAAUUUUAUCGUGUGAUUGGAUGAAUUUCUCAAAUCGUGUAAUUGACGCAAUGUGAUCCACGAUUUAGUCGAGAAUCAUGUUUCUAAAUUAUAUCUGUGUGAUCCAUGUUAUUGAGUAACAGGAUUCGGCUUAGAAGUUAUCGCGUUCUUUCAGAUUGAAUAACCACGGUUUUCAAUCAUACAUGACGACGGAUAUCCGAGAAAAUCUAUUUUUUGUUAAUUGCUUUCCUAAAGAUCUAUCAAAGCGUAGAUGAUGAUGACGUUAGCCUCAGUUCAGUUGAUCCAGGAAGGUUACCCUUUAACAAAUGAACGAACGAUAAGGAUGAUUAUUGUGCAUCGUCAAAAGAGAACCUAUUCCAAUUUUAGACGAGUGUAUAAAUCACGAUAUCCCGCCAUCCCACUCGUUGUUUUCUAGCCAGUGAACGAUAGUAGAGGAUGAUCCAUCCACGUGGAUCGCCCACAUGAGUCAGCACGUACAUUGAAUGAAAAACAUGACAAAAAUUUUUUUUCAAAAGAAGAGAAA